RNAcentral lists this ribosomal RNA (253 nucleotides) under uncultured bacterium. Its description in RNAcentral is "partial 16S ribosomal RNA". It matches the Rfam family "Bacterial small subunit ribosomal RNA", at positions 524 to 776 of the family's 1533-position model. The record is from RNAcentral.
UACGUAGGGGGCUAGCGUUGUCCGGAAUCAUUGGGCGUAAAGCGCGCGUAGGCGGCCCGGUAAGUCCGCUGUAAAAGUCCAGGGCUCAACCCUGGAAAGCCGGUGGAUACUGUCGGGCUCGAGUCCGGAAGAGGCGAGUGGAAUUCCUGGUGUAGCGGUGAAAUGCGCAGAUAUCAGGAGGAACACCAAUUGCGAAGGCAGCUCGCUGGGACGUUACUGACGCUGAGACGCGAAAGCGUGGGGAGCAAACAGG